UACGUAGGUCCCGAGCGUUGUCCGGAUUUAUUGGGCGUAAAGCGAGCGCAGGUGGUUUAUUAAGUCUGGUGUAAAAGGCAGUGGCUCAACCAUUGUAUGCAUUGGAAACUGGUAGACUUGAGUGCAGGAGAGGAGAGUGGAAUUCCAUGUGUAGCGGUGAAAUGCGUAGAUAUAUGGAGGAACACCGGUGGCGAAAGCGGCUCUCUGGCCUGUAACUGACACUGAGGCUCGAAAGCGUGGGGAGCAAACA
Molecule: ribosomal RNA, 250 nt
Filed under: uncultured bacterium
Lineage: Bacteria
Also listed under: 1 other name
Description: partial 16S ribosomal RNA
Rfam family: Bacterial small subunit ribosomal RNA
Source: RNAcentral